GAUGAACGCUGGCGGCGUGCUUAACACAUGCAAGUCGAACGAAGCAUUUGCGACAGAUUUUUUCGGAAUGAAGUUGCUUAUGACUGAGUGGCGGACGGGUGAGUAACGCGUGGGUAACCUGCCUUGUACUGGGGGAUAGCAGCUGGAAACGGCUGGUAAUACCGCAUAAGCGCACAAUGUUGCAUGACAUGGUGUGAAAAACUCCGGUGGUAUAAGAUGGACCCGCGUCUGAUUAGCUAGUUGGUGAGAUAACAGCCCACCAAGGCGACGAUCAGUAGCCGACCUGAGAGGGUGACCGGCCACAUUGGGACUACGGCACGGACCAGACUCGUACGGGGGGCAGCAGUGGGGAAUAUUGCACAAUGGAGGAAACUCUGAUGCAGCGACGCCGCGUGAGUGAAGAAGUGAUUCGUUAUGUAAAGCUCUAUCAGAAGAGAAGAUAGUGACGGUACCUGACUAAGAAGCACCGGCUAAAUACGUG
Molecule: ribosomal RNA, 481 nt
Filed under: uncultured bacterium
Lineage: Bacteria
Description: partial 16S ribosomal RNA
Rfam family: Bacterial small subunit ribosomal RNA
Source: RNAcentral